Molecule: ribosomal RNA, 936 nt
Filed under: uncultured bacterium
Lineage: Bacteria
Description: bacterial SSU rRNA
Rfam family: Bacterial small subunit ribosomal RNA
Source: RNAcentral
ACGCUGGCGGCAGGCUUUAACACAUGCAAGUCGAACGGUAAGCAGGGAAUUAGCUUGCUAAUCUGCUGACGAGUGGCGGACGGGUGAGUAAUGCUUGGGAAUCUGGCUUAUGGAGGGGGAUAACUACGGGAAACUGUAGCUAAUACCGCGUAAAAUCUUCGGAUUAAAGGGUGGGACUUUCGGGCCACCUGCCAUAAGAUGAGCCCAAGUGGGAUUAGGUAGUUGGUUAGGUAAAGGCUGACCAAGCCGACGAUCUCUAGCUGGUUUGAGAGGAUGACCAGCCACACUGGAACUGAGACACGGUCCAGACUCCUACGGGAGGCAGCAGUGGGGAAUAUUGCACAAUGGGGGGAACCCUGAUGCAGCCAUGCCGCGUGAAUGAAGAAGGCCUUCGGGUUGUAAAGUUCUUUCGGUGACGAGGAAGGUUGAUAGGUUAAUAGCCUAUCAAAUUGACGUUAAUCACAGAAGAAGCACCGGCUAACUCCGUGCCAGCAGCCGCGGUAAUACGGGGGGUGCAAGCGUUAAUCGGAAUAACUGGGCGUAAAGGGCACGUAGGCGGUGACUUAAGUGAGAUGUGAAAGCCCCGGGCUUAACUUGGGAAUUGCAUUUCAUACUGGGUCGCUAGAGUACUUUAGGGAGGGGUAGAAUUCCACGUGUAGCGGUGAAAUGCGUAGAGAUGUGGAGGAAUACCGAAGGCGAAGGCAGCCCCUUGGGAAUGUACUGACGCUCAUGUGCGAAAGCGUGGGGAGCAAACAGGAUUAGAUACCCUGGUAGUCCACGCUGUAAACGAUGUCGAUUUGGGGGUUGGGCUUUGAGCUUGGUGCCCGUAGCUAACGUGAUAAAUCGACCGCCUGGGGAGUACGGCCGCAAGGUUAAAACUCAAAUGAAUUGACGGGGGCCCGCACAAGCGGUGGAGCAUGUGGUUUAAUUCGAUGC